This 469-nucleotide ribosomal RNA is filed under the name uncultured bacterium. Its description in RNAcentral is "bacterial SSU rRNA". It matches the Rfam family "Bacterial small subunit ribosomal RNA", at positions 36 to 518 of the family's 1533-position model. The record is from RNAcentral.
CUGGCGGCGUGCAUAACACAUUCAAGUCGAACGGGCAGUAGUCCUCGGGGGUGCUGCUAGUGGCGGACGGGUGAGUAACGCGUGAGCAACCUGCCUCUGUGAGUGGAAUAACACAGGGAAACUUGUGCUAAUACCGCAUGACGAAGCGAAGCCGCAUGACUUUGCUUCCAAAGAUUUAUCGCACAGAGAUGGGCUCGCGUCCGAUUAGGCAGUUGGUGAGGUAACGGCUCACCAAACCGACGAUCGGUAGCCGGACUGAGAGGUUGAACGGCCACAUUGGAACUGAGAUACGGUCCAGACUCCUACGGGAGGCAGCAGUGGGGAAUAUUGGGCAAUGGGGCCGCAAGCCUGACCCAGCGACGCCGCGUGAGGGAAGAAGGUCUUCGGAUUGUAAACCUCUUUGACAGGGGACGAAGUAAGUGACGGUACCCUGAAAACAAGCCACGGCUAACUACGUGCCAGCCGCGGC